AAAAAAGAAAAAGAAAAAGAAAAGCUAGUACAUUUAUAAAUUCCAUUCACCAAGAUCUCUAGUGUUUUUCAUGCGGAAACUCAACAGAGGUAAACCAAGAUACAAACCAAGAUACAAAAGUAGGACACUUUCUUGCCACAAUCAACAUUCAUUAUAUCUUAUCAUUAACUGCAUUUAACCGCAGAAACAAGUUCUGCUAGGGAAAUUCUGCAUUCCAUUAAUUCUUCACAACUGAGUCAGCUGAUGUACACGAUGCUGGCUGAGGUGAUGGCUUCAGUAUGAUUUCCACAUUGUCAUGCACACCCUGUAGUAAUAGCUCACCAUCAUAUGUCACUGCUUUACGCUUCUUUGCUGCUCUUAGUGUUCCAACUAGUGCUUCAAAUAUAUUCGCACAUCUAUCGUCAUUGAAUAGCACGCCAAAAGUGACCUAAAAAACAGCAAACAAAACUCGGUGACAAAUGAUGACUGUAUAGCAGGUCUUUGAAUAGAAAAUACCAAUGUCAAUUUUCAGUCAAUAAGAAAUGGCUGAAAGAAGACUUGGACAUGAUAAAUGUCAUCACAUGCAAUUACAUAUUCUCUAGUCUUCCUUUGACUGUUAUAGGAUCAAAACAUGUACUCUCUGAUUUGCAGGAUUUGUUCAAAGUGAACUGUGCUCAUGCAGAUUUUCAGACUCUUUCACUUCCUAGUACCAGAUUCCAGUUACCAUGUAUUGGUUAGAACUUGAAUGUAUAAACUUAAAAGUUCUCCAAGUUUUCAAUUCAACACCCAUUAAAAUUAUGGUACAAGGGAGGGAUAUCCAAAAGUAGGUGCUGAUUGAGGAAGCAUUCAUGAAUCCAAAUGAAGGUGCAAAAUCACAAAAUACAAAUUGUUUUUCUGGUUUUGCACCAUUUUUUUAGAUUCUUGAAAGAUUAUGGUAGUGAGCAAUUAUAUGGAAGAUGGAUACUGGCUUACUGGGAUAAAUAUGGCUUGGAUGACUUUGGCAGAGAUGAGUGGAACAAAUGUGUUUUCAUUUGUUGGUAGUGGUGAUUCUCUUCACCUUUUGUCAUGAUGACUAGAGUGGUUUCUCUACCCUAAAAGACUGCUUUCCUGACUUGCUUGUAUCAGCAAAAGAGGGAUGCUUUGAGAUUGAUGUCCUUGUUUGCAAUUACCUUUAAGAAGGUUGAUUUGUGAUUGCACCAAUUGUGAAGAAAACCUAAGAUGGGUAGGUUGUCAUCUUUUCUACUUGAUCUUUCGUAGGAGAUAAUGAUGGUCAGGUAAAGCAGAGAGAAUUUAGAUUGCUUCAACUUGAAAUGCUAAUAUAGGAUCAUUGUUGGAGAGACUGUGCAAGGGAACUAGAGAGAAUCAUAGGAUGAUGCUUGCACCAUCCAAAGAUACUGUUUUGCCAAUAACCUAAAGGGAAAGGAUUUUGACAAUCUACAAUUUUGAAAUGGGGGAGAAAAACCUUGGAAAAGCAAAUUCUGAAACAGAUAUCAAUCUACUAGAAUGUGGGUGGAGUAAAAGCAAUAGAAACUGGCUUUUUUUUUUUUCAGUUGAAGAAGCUGUCAAGCAGUUGCAGGCUCAAUACUGAGGAAGAGAUUUGUGUCUGGAAUUUAACCAAAGUAAUUGUUACAAUGGACAGUUUUCCAGUGAUACUAAUAAUGAUGUAAAUUUGGUUGAUUCUAUCUUGUAAAUAAUUUACUUUUGUAUUCAACCCUUGGUCCCUUAUACAGUUAUUUUUAUCCAAAUAGAGGACUGUAACUCCUAUCAAAAUUUCUUAAAUUAGGGGUUUAAACCCCAAACUCUUACAUAAUACGAAUUACGGCCUAAAUUCCACUUGGGAUUCCACCUGAGAAGAAUUGCUCAAUUGUGUCCGUCUAAAAGUGAACUAAUCUGGAAUUGCUUUUCAGGUGCAUUCUGUGAGAGCAGGAAUACAAUCAUCAAUUAUAGUUUUCAUUGAUGGAUUAUGCACAGAUCAUGAAGCUCUCUUUGAUAGCUUCGCUGCCACGGAACGGCCAAUUAUUCUUAGCGAGUUUGUGGGUGUGACCAGGAUGAAGAUGGAAGGAUGAUAAGACCCUUAACAAAAUUAGCGAGUCCCAUUAAGGCCAGAGAACCCCACAAGAGAGAACUGUGCUGGUUUUCCGUUUUGCCCCUUCCUCAUAUUCAAAAUCAACAACCAAUUUAUCACAAUUCCUCCUGACCCAAAUCAAAUUCCUAAUCCAGAAAAGCCAUUUGAGUCGACGUUACCCAAAAUAUAAGCAGAAAAAAAUAGACAAAUGGGAUAACACCCAUAUGGUAAAUUGGGAAAUUUGCUACUAUGGUUUUGAACCAUAGUACAAAUCCUUGCAUUUGUGAGAUAAAAAUCCCAAGAGCACCAAAAAUGUCCAUGCUUGCCCAAAUCAGCAUUGAUCUUUAUCAAGUAACUCUGCAACUUCCAAACAUAAAAAUGGACCAAAGAAUCCAAAAGGAAGAAAGGAAAAAAAAUCUAGAUCUAGAUCCCACUUUCAUAAAUGUCUCAAAAUCAUGAUCCACCUUUGAUAGAUUUGCCAAUAAUUCAAGACCCAGAUUAGAUCAACCCAGGUAUCAUAUGCUCAAAAUGCCAUGCAAUUCAACUCGCAUAUACAUCACAUCAAUAAAAAAAACAUAUUUUAAUUAUGGAAAUGAGAAAUUUACCUUAUAGGAUCCAUCAGGUUGGAUCUUGCCAAGUCUCUGGAUCUCUUCUUUGAGUCUCUCUACCUCUUCUUCUACGUUCAUGGUUUCUCUUUCUUCCCUUCUGAAAAAAAAUCUAUGCGCCUGUGAUUUCUUUUCUGG
This 2787-nucleotide unclassified non-coding RNA is filed under the name Hevea brasiliensis (rubber tree). The record is from RNAcentral. Lineage: Eukaryota; Viridiplantae; Streptophyta; Magnoliopsida; Malpighiales; Euphorbiaceae.